UCCCUCACCUCCCCGUUCCCCACCCCGCUCCCUCGCCCUGCAUCCCGCUCCCGCCUCAGCCCGACAAGUGAAGCGGCAGCUCCAGCCACCGCGCGCCCCCUCCUCGCACAUCCCGAGGGAGGCACCUGCCCGCGUCACCCCUGCCUGAGGUUAACCGGGAGGUUCAAUGGGAUCCAAGUUUAGGCGUUUUAAAUUGUUAGGACCCUUCCUUUAAACUGACUUCUGGGAAAAAAAAAAAAAAAAGAAAAAGCCCCAAAACUCCAUGCUGCUCGACAUCAGCCACGCCGAUGCCAUGGUGCAGUCAGGAGUGAACCCGCCUCGUCUUUCCCCAGCUCCCUCUGCAGUCCAGGGAACGUGAGGAAAAGAAGGUUUGCUUGUUUCCCCAGUAAAUGCUUCCAAAGGAAUUCACUGAGUUUAAUAAAAAAAAAUGUUACAAAUUA
Pipra filicauda (Wire-tailed manakin) is the source of this 440-nucleotide long non-coding RNA. RefSeq lists it as uncharacterized. The transcript is spliced from 2 exons. Lineage: Eukaryota; Metazoa; Chordata; Aves; Passeriformes; Pipridae. The record is from RefSeq and is a predicted model, not a curated record.